Molecule: ribosomal RNA, 497 nt
Filed under: uncultured bacterium
Lineage: Bacteria
Description: partial 16S ribosomal RNA
Rfam family: Bacterial small subunit ribosomal RNA
Source: RNAcentral
GAUGAACGCUGGCGGCGUGCCUAAUACAUGCAAGUCGAGCGAACAGACGAGGAGCUUUCUCCUCUGACGUUAGCGGCGGGCGGGUGAGUAACACGUGGAUAACCUACCUAUAAGACUGGGAUAACUUCGGGAAACCGGAGCUAAUACCGGAUAAUAUGUUGAACCGCAUGGUUCAAUAGUGAAAGACAGUUUUGCUGACACUUAUAGAUGGAUCCGCGUCGCAUUAGAUACUUGGUAAGGUAACGGCUUACCAAGGCAACGAUGCGUAGCCGAGCUGAGAGGGUGAUCGGCCACACUGGAACUGAGACACGGUCCAGACUCCUACGGGAGGCAGCAGUAGGGAAUCUUGCGCAAUGGGCGAAAGCCUGACGGAGCAACGCCGCGUGAGUGAUGAAGGUCUUCGGAUCGUAAAACUCUGUUAUUAGGGAAGAAAAAAUGUGUAUGUAACUAUGCACGUUUUGACGGUACCUAAACAGAAAGCCACGGCUAACUACGUG